RNAcentral lists this ribosomal RNA (498 nucleotides) under uncultured bacterium. RNAcentral describes it as "partial 16S ribosomal RNA". It matches the Rfam family "Bacterial small subunit ribosomal RNA", at positions 30 to 523 of the family's 1533-position model. The record is from RNAcentral.
AUUGAACGCUGGCGGCAUGCCUUACACAUGCAAGUCGAACGGUAACAGGUCUUCGGAUGCUGACGAGUGGCGAACGGGUGAGUAAUACAUCGGAACGUGCCUAGUAGUGGGGGAUAACUACUCGAAAGAGUGGCUAAUACCUCAUGAGAUCUCCGGAUGAAAGCAGGGGAUCGCAAGACCUUGUGCUACUAGAGCGGCCUAUGACAGAUUAGGUAGUUGGUGGGAUAAAAGCUUACCAAGCCGACGAUCUGUAGCUGGUCUGAGAGGACAAUCAGCCACAUGGGGAGUGAGACACGGACCAGACUCCUGCGGGAGGCAGCAGUGGGGAAUUUUGGACAAUGGGCGCAAGCCUGAUCCAGCAAUGCCGCGUGCAGGAUGAAGGCCUUAGGGUUGUAAACUGCUUUUGUACGGAACGAAAAGCCCCGGGUUAAUACCCUGGGGUCAUGACGGUACCGUAAGAAUAAGCACCGGCUAACUACGUGCCAGCCGCCGCGGUAA